AACCUUAUGGACCUGCGGGCGUAUACCUGCGGAGGGAUCAUUACCGAGUUUUCAACUCCCUAACCCUUCUGUGAACCUACCUAUCGUUGCUUCGGCGGACUCGCCCCAGCCCGGACGCGGACUGGACCAGCGGCCCGCCGGGGACCUCAAACUCUUGUAUUCCAGCAUCUUCUGAAUACGCCGCAAGGCAAAACAAAUGAAUCAAAACUUUCAGCAACGGAUCUCAGAUCGGAAGAGCAC
Molecule: unclassified non-coding RNA, 240 nt
Filed under: soil metagenome
Description: partial contains 5.8S ribosomal RNA, internal transcribed spacer 2, and large subunit ribosomal RNA
Source: RNAcentral